Molecule: ribosomal RNA, 421 nt
Filed under: uncultured bacterium
Lineage: Bacteria
Description: bacterial SSU rRNA
Rfam family: Bacterial small subunit ribosomal RNA
Source: RNAcentral
GACGAACGCUGGCGGCGUGCUUAACACAUGCAAGUCGAACGAAAAGAGGGAAAGAGCUUGCUCUUUCCGGAAUUGAGUGGCAAACGGGUGAGUAACACGUAAACAACCUGCCUUCAGGAUGGGGACAACAGACGGAAACGACUGCUAAUACCGAAUAAGUUCCAAGAGCCGCAUGGCCCAUGGAAGAAAAGGUGGCCUCUACCUGUAAGCUAUCGCCUGAAGAGGGGUUUGCGUCUGAUUAGCUGGUUGGAGGGGUAACGGCCCACCAAGGCGACGAUCAGUAGCUGGUCUGAGAGGAUGAACGGCCACACUGGAACUGAGACACGGUCCAGACUCCUACGGGAGGCAGCAGUGGGGAAUCUUCCGCAAUGGGCGAAAGCCUGACGGAGCAACGCCGCGUGAGUGAUGACGGCCUUCGGUU